This is a long non-coding RNA of Spinacia oleracea (spinach), 1460 nucleotides long. RefSeq lists it as uncharacterized. The transcript has 2 exons. Lineage: Eukaryota; Viridiplantae; Streptophyta; Magnoliopsida; Caryophyllales; Amaranthaceae. The record is from RefSeq and is a predicted model, not a curated record.
ACAUAUUCUACUAGUAUUUUAUGCACGCGAUGCGUGCGUGAAUUUUAGAAAUUUUAUUGUGCCUAUUAUUUCAUGCACGCGAUGCGUGCGCAAUUUUAGAAAUUUUAGACACUAAAAAUCAUUCGCAAAGUCCAUAUGUUGCGAUAUUCAGGUCAUCCAAUACUCGUAGCCUUACAUGACGAAUGAUCGAAUCUUAUGAACAAUUAAAGCUAUUAAAAAUUUUAACAUUAUAUACAUAAGUAGUUGCUGAUUUUGAUGCAUUUUUUUUCUUUUUUGCUAAAACAAACGUUUAAAUUUAAAAUAAAUUAAAUAUUUUAUUUUGUUUCCUUUCGCUUUUCUUUUCUACUUAAACGAAAGUUUAAAUUAUAAUUAAAUUAAAUAUUUUAUUUUAAUGUUUUUUAUUCUAUGCUUUUCCACUAAAACGAAAGUCUAUUUCCUGUAAUCAAACAUAACUUGUCAAUUUUUUAUUAUUUAUUUUGUAUUUUCAUAUUAAUAUUCUUAUAAGAACUUUAGAUGAUACUCCGUAGAAUUUUGUUCCGUUUAUUUUAUAAACCACGACAUUACUCCAUUCUAUUAGUGAACUCUCAUUUUCAUUUUCAAGUUAAGAAAGCAGGCCCAUUUAAUUCCCAAGGCCCAAUCCAUUCUAUACUCAACAUGUCUUAAACCCUAUCUCCUUUUGUUGUCUAUCCGCCGCUUCCUUCAUUCUGGAACAUAUUUUUAUUUUGUUUCCUCCUUUCUCUCUCCUCGUUGAUCGGAUCUCCUCUCUCUCCUUGAAGAAGCGGCAUAAACCUCAAAUAUGGCGAAAAUACUGCGCUCAAAAUGCCUAUCCUUUCAAAUUCCGAUCAACAUAUUGCGAAAAUACUCGGAUCAAGAAAUAUAAGGUUAAUCUCUCGCCUUUCCCUCUCUCCUAUUCUCUAAUUCAGAUAGGGUUGUAUGUAAUCUAACUAAUUCAACUCAGAUUAAGGGUUUUAUGUUAUAUAAGAUCAAAUUUUCUUGUAGAUAGGGUGUUUAAGGUUUAAUUUAGGCUUAACUAAUUGAAGCUUGUGUUCGUUUGAUUAAUUGUUGCUUCACUGUUUUUUUUUUUUUUUUGCAUUUUUGGUUUGCAUGUCGUAUCACUGUGGAGAGAAAGCUGCUGGUGAGGAGGCGGCGGCGAUGCGGUGGCGAGGCGCGCAAGGCGCUGGGCGAUGCGAUGCGAAGGAUUCGUGAGAAAAGUAUACUUACGUUACGUGUGUGGGAGCGACUUCAAGAAGUAUGGUGAUAUGGGGUUUUCGAGAAUGGAGUUCUUUUGAGAAUGAAUUUUCAGUGCGGUAGGGUUUUUUUUCGAGAAUGGCGUUCUUCUGGAGAAUUUUUCAGGCUUUUUGGUUUACUGGAGAAUUUUAAAGAAUUUUUUGUGUACUUGUGAUUUUGUUUCCUGAUUUGUAAUAAUUUUCAAUUGUAAUAAUGUGUAGUAUUUUCCUUAA